UAUUCUCAGCUUCAUAAUUUUCCAGAUGAACAGCUAGCUAGCUAGUCAUAUAUCUUUCUUGGUUUUUUCUGUGUGUAUGUUGGUUGAUUAUUUGAUUAUUAUUUUUCAAAUAUAAUAUGAUUGAGGCAGUGAUGAUAAUUAUAUAAUGAUGCAUUCGGAUUCUGGGCUAACCGGGUCGGGCAGGAGACUAUCCGACCCGUAUCUUGGCUUGGCAAUUUUUGCAGCCAUGACGUGGUUGAUUCUCCUUCGUCUGACCUCUUUGCAGAUUUAUCUGAGCCUCCAUUACAUAUUUUACUAUAGUUGAUUUUAAUGUUUACUUUAUGUGAAAAAAAUAAGAUGAAUUUAAUUGCUGUUCGAAGCAAAUAACAUGUAACUACACUCAAAAAAAAAAAAAAAAAAAACUUUUAUUGGGGACCAAAUAAAACAAUAAAAGCAUAGAUCGUCAAUAUGUAUUUUAGUGUUUUAAACUUUAAAUACGUCUAAAUUCUGAAUCCGCCUCACAUCUGAUCCUAAUUAGGAAAACAUAUAACCAUAGUGAAAUGUUAGCUUGAAAGUACCAUUCACCUUAAGGGGUUGUGUUUGGUUGGAAAAUUAUUAUUUCGGGAUAGUUAAUUUUGGGAUUAUUUGAAAUAAUUUAUUCUAUCAUAUAUAUUGGAUAAGUUAUUCUAGCACUAUAAAAAAAAUGGUGAGAUAUAGUUAUCUCACUAUGAAUUAAUUNNNNN
Molecule: long non-coding RNA, 722 nt
Filed under: Capsicum annuum
Lineage: Eukaryota; Viridiplantae; Streptophyta; Magnoliopsida; Solanales; Solanaceae
Description: long non-coding RNA (CANN_LNC010831)
Source: RNAcentral